RNAcentral lists this non-coding RNA (32 nucleotides) under Rattus norvegicus (Norway rat). The record is from RNAcentral. Lineage: Eukaryota; Metazoa; Chordata; Mammalia; Rodentia; Muridae.
UGACUACUUUGCCUGCCAACUCCAUUUGGAAU